Molecule: ribosomal RNA, 340 nt
Filed under: Candidatus Fimousia stercorigallinarum
Lineage: Bacteria; Bacillati; Bacillota; Clostridia; Lachnospirales; Lachnospiraceae
Description: bacterial SSU rRNA
Rfam family: Bacterial small subunit ribosomal RNA
Source: RNAcentral
UAACAUGAGAGUUUGAUCCUGGCUCAGGAUGAACGCUGGCGGCGUGCUUAACACAUGCAAGUCGAACGAAGCAUCCUUCUUCGGAGGGAUGACUGAGUGGCGGACGGGUGAGUAACGCGUGGGUAACCUGCCCUAUACAGGGGGAUAACAGCUGGAAACGGCUGCUAAUACCGCAUAAGCGCACAGCACCGCAUGGUGCAGUGUGAAAAACUCCGGUGGUAUAGGAUGGACCCGCGUCUGAUUAGCUGGUUGGCAGGGUAACGGCCUACCAAGGCGACGAUCAGUAGCCGGCUUGAGAGAGUGGACGGCCACAUUGGGACUGAGACACGGCCCAGACUCC